Acanthosepion pharaonis is the source of this 113-nucleotide non-coding RNA. NCBI's taxonomy places the organism in Eukaryota, Metazoa, Mollusca, Cephalopoda, Sepiida, Sepiidae. The record is from the annotation of a GenBank genome assembly.
UUAUGGCCAUAUCACGUUGGAACACCGAUUCAGGUACGAUCAGCGAAGUUAAGCCACGUCGAGGCUGAUCAGUACCUAGAUGAGUGACCGCAUUGGAAUGCAAGGUGCUGUAU